GGGUAUGUGACUCAGUGGUAGAGGGCUUGCCUGCCACGCAAAAGGGUGUGGGUUCAGCCCUCAAUGCUAA
Molecule: transfer RNA, 70 nt
Filed under: Heterocephalus glaber (naked mole-rat)
Lineage: Eukaryota; Metazoa; Chordata; Mammalia; Rodentia; Bathyergidae
Rfam family: tRNA
About the family: Transfer RNA (tRNA) molecules are approximately 80 nucleotides in length. Their secondary structure includes four short double-helical elements and three loops (D, anti-codon, and T loops).
Source: Rfam by way of RNAcentral